This 72-nucleotide transfer RNA is filed under the name Camelus bactrianus (Bactrian camel). It matches the Rfam family "tRNA". Rfam says of the family: Transfer RNA (tRNA) molecules are approximately 80 nucleotides in length. Their secondary structure includes four short double-helical elements and three loops (D, anti-codon, and T loops). RNAcentral also lists the same sequence under 1 other name. Lineage: Eukaryota; Metazoa; Chordata; Mammalia; Artiodactyla; Camelidae. The record is from Rfam by way of RNAcentral.
GAGGGUAUAGCUCAGUGGUAGAGCUCUGGCUUAGCAUGCAUGAGGCCCUGGGUUCAAUCACCAGUACUGCCA